This 461-nucleotide ribosomal RNA is filed under the name uncultured Sphingobacteriales bacterium. Its description in RNAcentral is "bacterial SSU rRNA". It matches the Rfam family "Bacterial small subunit ribosomal RNA", at positions 337 to 795 of the family's 1533-position model. The record is from RNAcentral. Lineage: Bacteria; Pseudomonadati; Bacteroidota; Sphingobacteriia; Sphingobacteriales.
CCCUACGGGUGGCUGCAGUAAGGAAUAUUGGUCAAUGGAGGCAACUCUGAACCAGCCAUGCCGCGUGCAGGAUGACGGCCCUAUGGGUUGUAAACUGCUUUUGUACCAGAGAAAACCCUUUUACGAGUAAGAGGUUGAUAGUAUGGUAAGAAUAAGCAUCGGCUAACUUCGUGCCAGCAGCCGCGGUAAGACGAAGGAUGCAAGCGUUAUCCGGAUUCAUUGGGUUUAAAGGGUGCGUAGGCGGACUGAUAAGUCAGUGGUGAAAUCUCUCAGCUUAACUGAGAAACUGCCAUUGAUACUGUCGGUCUAGAGUAUAGAUGACGUUGGCGGAAUAUGACAUGUAGUGGUGAAAUACUUAGAUAUGUCAUAGAACACCGAUUGCGAAGGCAGCUAACGAAACUAUAACUGACGCUGAGGCACGAAAGUGCGGGGAUCAAACAGGAUUAGAUACCCUUGUAGUC